RNAcentral lists this ribosomal RNA (460 nucleotides) under uncultured bacterium. RNAcentral describes it as "partial 16S ribosomal RNA". It matches the Rfam family "Bacterial small subunit ribosomal RNA", at positions 338 to 795 of the family's 1533-position model. The record is from RNAcentral.
CCUACGGGAGGCAGCAGUGAGGAAUAUUGGUCAAUGGGCGCGAGCCUGAACCAGCCAAGUAGCGUGAAGGAUGACUGCCCUACGGGUUGUAAACCUCUUUUAUAAAGGAAUAAAGUGAGGCACGAGUGCCUUUUUGUAUGUACUUUAUGAAUAAGGAUCGGCUAACUCCGUGCCAGCAGCCGCGGUAAUACGGAGGAUCCGAGCGUUAUCCGGAUUUAUUGGGUUUAAAGGGAGCGUAGAUGGGUUGUUAAGUCAGUUGUGAAAGUUUGCGGCUCAACCGUAGAAUUGCAGUUGAUACUGGCAGCCUUGAGUGCAGUAAGGGUAGGCGGAAUUCGUGGUGUAGCGGUGAAAUGCUUAGAUAUCACGAAGAACUCCGAUUGCGAAGGCAGCUUACUAAACUGCCACUGACAUUGAUGCUCGAAAGUGUGGGUAUCGAACAGGAUUAGAUACCCCUGUAGUC